Molecule: non-coding RNA, 114 nt
Organism: Acanthosepion pharaonis
Lineage: Eukaryota; Metazoa; Mollusca; Cephalopoda; Sepiida; Sepiidae
Source: the annotation of a GenBank genome assembly
UUACGGCCACAUCACGUUGAAUCACCGGUUCUCGUAUGAUCACCGAUGUUAAGCAACGACGAAUCUGGUCAGUACCUAGGUUAGUGACCACUUGGUAAUUCCAGAUACUGUAAG